AGCAGCCGCGGUAAUUCCAGCUCCAAUAGCGUAUAUUAAAGUUGCUGCAGUUAAAAGCUCGUAGUUGAAUUUCGGGAUCAAUAUGUUGGUCGUGCCUCGGUACGUACUAGCUUAUUGGUUUCUUCCUUCUGACGAACCAUAAUGUCAUUUAUUUGGUGUUAUGGGGAAUCAGGACUGUUACUUUGAAAAAUUAGAGUGUUUAAAGCAGGCUCACGCUUGAAUACAUUAGCAUGGAAUAAUGAAAUAGGACGUUUGAUUCUAUUUUGUUGGUUUCUAGGAUCGACGUAAUGAUUAAUAGGGAUAGUUGGGGCAUUAGUAUUCAAUUGUCAGGGUGAAAUUUCUUGGAUUUUUAUUGAAGACUAACUACUGCGAAAGCAUUUUGCCAAGGAUGUUUUCAUUAAUCAAGAACGAAAGUUUAGGGGAUCGAAGACGAUCAGAUACCGUCGUAGUCUUAAACCAU
This 460-nucleotide ribosomal RNA is filed under the name uncultured Glomus. Its description in RNAcentral is "SSU rRNA". It matches the Rfam family "Eukaryotic small subunit ribosomal RNA", at positions 569 to 1033 of the family's 1831-position model. The record is from RNAcentral. Lineage: Eukaryota; Fungi; Glomeromycota; Glomeromycetes; Glomerales; Glomeraceae.